RNAcentral lists this ribosomal RNA (744 nucleotides) under uncultured bacterium. RNAcentral describes it as "bacterial SSU rRNA". The stretch from base 1 to 606 matches the Rfam family "Bacterial small subunit ribosomal RNA", at positions 338 to 873 of the family's 1533-position model. The record is from RNAcentral.
CCUACGGGAGGCAGCAGUGGGGAAUAUUGGACAAUGGGCGCAAGCCUGAUCCAGCAAUGCCGCGUGUGUGAAGAAGGCCUUCGGGUUGUAAAGCACUUUUAUCAGGAACGAAAUACCACGGGUUAAUACCCUAUGGGGCUGACGGUACCUGAGGAAUAAGCACCGGCUAACUUCGUGCCAGCAGCCGCGGUAAUACGAAGGGUGCAAGCGUUAAUCGGAAUUACUGGGCGUAAAGGGUGCGUAGGCGGUUAGUUAAGUCUGUCGUGAAAUCCCCGGGCUCAACCUGGGAAUGGCGAUGGAUACUGGCUGGCUAGAGUGUGUCAGAGGAUGGUGGAAUUUCCGGUGUAGCGGUGAAAUGCGUAGAGAUCGGAAGGAACAUCAGUGGCGAAGGCGGCCAUCUGGGACAACACUGACGCUGAAGCACGAAAGCGUGGGGAGCAAAACAGGAUUAGACUACCCGUGGUACGUCCCGUACCGACCCGUAAACCGUAACGUACGUACGAACCGUACGGUAGUAGGUUUGGGUUCGUUACCGUAACCGUACCGGUACGGUAGUACGUAGUAGGUUCGGUAACGGACGUAACCGGUACCGGUUAACGGUUUACCGGUCCCGGUCCCGUCGGGGUACGGGUUACCGGGUUACCGGUCCGAACGAACGUACGUAAACCGUACCGUAAACGGUAAACGUUAGGUACGGACCGUGAGGACGUACGACCGACGGACGACCGACGGAGGGAGGUUAGG